RNAcentral lists this ribosomal RNA (399 nucleotides) under Salmonella enterica subsp. enterica serovar Senftenberg. RNAcentral describes it as "partial 23S ribosomal RNA". It matches the Rfam family "Bacterial large subunit ribosomal RNA", at positions 793 to 1190 of the family's 2925-position model. Lineage: Bacteria; Pseudomonadati; Pseudomonadota; Gammaproteobacteria; Enterobacterales; Enterobacteriaceae. RNAcentral also lists the same sequence under 6 other names. The record is from RNAcentral.
AAAAUUAGCGGAUGACCUGUGGCUGGGGGUGAAAGGCCAAUCAAACCGGGAGAUAGCUGGUUCUCCCCGAAAGCUAUUUAGGUAGCGCCUCGUGAAUUCAUCUCCGGGGGUAGAGCACUGUUUCGGCUAGGGGGCCAUCCCGGCUUACCAACCCGAUGCAAACUGCGAAUACCGGAGAAUGUUAUCACGGGAGACACACGGCGGGUGCUAACGUCCGUCGUGAAGAGGGAAACAACCCAGACCGCCAGCUAAGGUCCCAAAGUCAUGGUUAAGUGGGAAACGAUGUGGGAAGGCCCAGACAGCCAGGAUGUUGGCUUAGAAGCAGCCAUCAUUUAAAGAAAGCGUAAUAGCUCACUGGUCGAGUCGGCCUGCGCGGAAGAUGUAACGGGGCUAAACCAU